AUUGAACGCUGGCGGCAUGCCUUACACAUGCAAGUCGAACGGCAGCACGGGUGCUUGCACCUGGUGGCGAGUGGCGAACGGGUGAGUAAUACAUCGGAACGUACCUUAUCGUGGGGGAUAACGCAGCGAAAGCUGUGCUAAUACCGCAUACGCCCUGAGGGGGAAAGCGGGGGAUCGCAAGACCUCGCGCGAUUAGAGCGGCCGAUGCCUGAUUAGCUAGUUGGUGGGGUAAAAGCCCACCGAGGCGACGAUCAGUAGCUGGUCUGAGAGGACGAUCAGCCACACUGGGAAUGAGACACGGCCCAGACUCCUACGGGAGGCAGCAGUGGGGAAUUUUGGACCAUGGGGGCAACCCUGAUCAAGCAAAGCCGCGUGAGUGAAGAAGGCCUUCGGGUUGUAAAGCUCUUUUGUCAGGGAAGAAACACCGGCUCUAACACAGUCCGGGAAUGACGGUACCUGAAGAAUAAGCACCGGCUAACUACGUGCCAGCAGCCGCCGCCG
This 501-nucleotide ribosomal RNA is filed under the name uncultured bacterium. RNAcentral describes it as "partial 16S ribosomal RNA". It matches the Rfam family "Bacterial small subunit ribosomal RNA", at positions 29 to 523 of the family's 1533-position model. The record is from RNAcentral.